Non-coding RNA from Potamilus streckersoni, 74 nucleotides. The record is from the annotation of a GenBank genome assembly. Lineage: Eukaryota; Metazoa; Mollusca; Bivalvia; Unionida; Unionidae.
UCUCUGGUGGCCUAGUGGUUAGAGCAUCCGCAUCAUAUGCGGGAGGUCGUGGGUUCGAUAUACCGUCGAGUCAU